GACGAACGCUGGCGGCGUGCUUAACACAUGCAAGUCGAACGGAAAGGCCCUGCUUUUGUGGGGUGCUCGAGUGGCGAACGGGUGAGUAACACGUGAGUAACCUGCCCUUGACUUUGGGAUAACUUCAGGAAACUGGGGCUAAUACCGGAUAGGAGCUCCUGCUGCAUGGUGGGGGUUGGAAAGUUUCGGCGGUUGGGGAUGGACUCGCGGCUUAUCAGCUUGUUGGUGGGGUAGUGGCUUACCAAGGCUUUGACGGGUAGCCGGCCUGAGAGGGUGACCGGCCACAUUGGGACUGAGGUACGGCCCAGACUCCUACGGGAGGCAGCAGUGGGGAAUAUUGCACAAUGGGCGGAAGCCUGAUGCAGAAACGCCGCGUGCGGAAUGCCGGCCUUCGGGUUGUAAACCGCUUUCGCCUGUGACGAAGCGUGAGUGACGGUAAUGGGUAAAGAAGCACCGGCUAACUACGUG
RNAcentral lists this ribosomal RNA (468 nucleotides) under uncultured bacterium. Its description in RNAcentral is "partial 16S ribosomal RNA". It matches the Rfam family "Bacterial small subunit ribosomal RNA", at positions 28 to 507 of the family's 1533-position model. The record is from RNAcentral.